Molecule: ribosomal RNA, 785 nt
Filed under: uncultured delta proteobacterium
Lineage: Bacteria; Deltaproteobacteria
Description: bacterial SSU rRNA
Rfam family: Bacterial small subunit ribosomal RNA
Source: RNAcentral
UGUUCGGAAUCAUUGGGCGUAAAGGGCGUGUAGGCGGUUUCAUAAGUCAGCUGUGAAAGCCCAGGGCUUAACCCUGGAAGUGCGGUUGAAACUUUGGAACUUGAGUCCCAGAGGGGAAAGCAGAAUUCCGUAUGUAGAGGUGAAAUUCGUAGAGAUACGGAGGAAUACCAGUGGCGAAGGCGGCUUUCUGGAUGGUGACUGACGCUGAGACGCGAAAGCGUGGGUAGCAAACAGGAUUAGAUACCCUGGUAGUCCACGCUGUAAACGAUGAGCACUAGACGUUGUCGGUAUUGACCCUGGCAGUGUCGUAGCUAACGCGUUAAGUGCUCCGCCUGGGGAUUACGGUUGCAAGACUAAAACUCAAAGGAAUUGACGGGGGCCCGCACAAGCGGUGGAUCAUGUGGUUUAAUUCGAAGCAACGCGCAGAACCUUACCCAGGUUUGAAAUCCUGAGAACUCUCUAGAGAUAGAGAGGUGCCCUUCGGGGAACUCAGUGACAGGUGCUGCAUGGCUGUCGUCAGCUCGUGUUGUGAAAUGUUGGGUUAAGUCCCGCAACGAGCGCAACCCUUACCGUUAGUUGCCAGCAUUUAGUUGGGCACUCUAGCGGGACUGCCGGCGUUAAGCCGGAGGAAGGUGGGGAUGACGUCAAGUCCUCAUGGCCUUUAUAUCUGGGGCUACACACGUGAUACAAUGGCAAGUACAAAGGGCAGCAAAACUGCAAAGUCUAGCUAAUCCCAAAAAGCUUGCCCCAGUUCGGAUUGGAGUCUGCAACUCGACUCCAUGAAG